Sus scrofa (pig) is the source of this 1693-nucleotide non-coding RNA. The record is from RefSeq and is a predicted model, not a curated record. NCBI's taxonomy places the organism in Eukaryota, Metazoa, Chordata, Mammalia, Artiodactyla, Suidae.
UCACGCGUGCAGGCUUGUGGAGAGCAGCUUUUGGAAGGAGCGUGGAAGCUCCAUGUCCUUUACCCGUGCCUUGCCCUGUGCUUCUCCUCCGUCUGUCUGUUCCUGAGUCAUAGCCUUUUGUAAUAAACCAGUAAUCCAACUCUUCCCUGAAAAACUCUCAUGAACAGGACUCCAGUAAUGAAAAAUAUGAGGAGCCAUAACAGAGUUUGGUCUCUUUAUAUAAUCUGCCUGAAAUCAUUUCGGAAGAGAAAGGACACAAAACCCAACAAAUUAAACGGAAACAGGAACACACUGAGCUCCCUCAGCUUCCCAGGACUCUGGGAGCUCCCUGCGAAGCACAGCUCAGUGCAAUAGGAAGAAGUAAGUGGGCAAAGGAAGACCAGCUUCCAAACAUGCCCUUCUCUAAGAGAGGCCUGAGUCAAGGGGCGUCGCUUCCCUGACCUCAGUGUAUGGAAGGUUUGCUUUCUUCGCAAAGUUCUUUGGAGCUUCCAUUUGUCCUGGUUUCCCUCACCUGCAGAAGCCAUCACAGCACCUGCCAUAAAGUUAGUGGAGAUGGCGAGGACCCCGAUGUAACAAACGUCUUAUGGGGGUGUGUAUGUAGGGCAGUGUUAGACGUUAAAAUCCGCCCACUCUACCCUGAAACCCCACUUCUCUGAGUUAACUCUGAGAAUUGCUUUCAAGACCUACUAUCAAAAUACAUGUACACACUCACGCACACAUAUAUGUACAUAGCAGUUUCAUUCAUAAUGACAAAAAGACGUGAUACAACCUCAGUAUUUAACUAUAGGGAACCAGGGUAAGCAGUUUCUCAAAUGUAAUUAAAAACAGUAAAUAUUGAGAUGAUGUGGAAACGGGAAAUAACGUAUGUAAUAAAAGCGAAACAUAAAACUUAAUUGUAAUUGUGCAUAUAGAUACAGUUAGUAUGACUCCACCGGAAUGUAAAAAGCUCAGAAUUGAACAGAAUUAUAUUUCUGAGGUAUGAUGGGUAGAAAAAUUAAAUGAUUAUACCAACAUCGAGUCAUUUGAACAUUUAAGUUCAAAACUUCAGAUAGACUUUUACUUCUGGAAGUGUGAGUGCCCACAAAUGUGUUCAAACCCUAAAUUCUUCAUCCGUGGGUUGAAUAACCAUUCAAGAAAAUGUCAAGGUAAAUUAUUGCCUCAGGAAAAACUUGGGACAACUUCUCUCACAGUUUAACAAUUUUCAGUGUUAUUUUGGCUUUAACAAGAUAAGUUUUUUUUUUUUCCAAGAGUUCUUUUGCUCAUGAUGCUUAUUCUUUACUGCGUGUCAUAAUUUUAUGUUUGUAGCAAAAUAAUCAUUUCCAUAGCAACCAACUGGGAUGUCUCAAGAAGAAAAUUAUGACUUCAGGAAAGGAAUAAACAACAGGAGAGAAUGAAUAAUGAAAAUAAUCAUGAUUCUUAUUCUCAAUAAGAAUAGAAAAAUGCUAGAAUGAGAAAAUAUGUUAUAGAUCUUUCAGAAUUAUUUCAGCCUUAAAAAAACGACUUCAGCUCAGUUUUCCAGGAGGCAGUAGUUAUUCUAGGAGGAAGGUUCCUCCUGUAUCACAGUCUACUAUGUGCCUUAAAGAAGGAUGGAGGAGGGAAGCCUAAUAAAGUCUCCAUCACACUUUAACUUACUGUUAUGUAUUGGAAAGAUAUGGGAGUUCUAAUCAUGUGGCUCAGUGGUUAAUGACGCCGA